RNAcentral lists this long non-coding RNA (583 nucleotides) under Prunus dulcis (almond). RNAcentral's name for it is "sRNA ncRNA". The record is from RNAcentral. Lineage: Eukaryota; Viridiplantae; Streptophyta; Magnoliopsida; Rosales; Rosaceae.
CCGUAUCCGUCCCAAUAUCCGUUUUUUAUCCUUCAUACCCGACCAUUAGGGUCGAAUCCCUCCGAAGACUCUUACUUGCGGAAAAUUGUCAUCCCUCUCUAUCUCUCUCUCUGGGCACUCUCUCUUGGCGGCGCUGCUCAUGGUCCACCCUACCCUGUCGCCACCCUCCCACAGCCUAUGCAAGCUCCAAUUUUGUUGUUGUUCGGGUUUUCACAAAUUAAAUUUGCAGAAAUUAAAAAGAUCAAAAUCCUAAAGCCUAAGUGAAGAGGGCGACGAGAUAGAGAGGGAGGCGGGGGAGGGCGCGUCAGGGAUGAAGAGUUUGAGAUCAACAGGCUGCGUCUUUGUUCUUCACUUCUGGUUGUUUUGCUCUUCUUCUUUCUCAAUCCCACCCAAAUAUCUCGGUCCCAAAUGAAACACAGAGCCUAUCCAAAUCCAAUAAAAUCUCCCAUCUCUCUAUGAAUUUGGCUAAGCCUUUUUCACAAACACAUGCUCUCUCUUAUGGCUUUGAAUGUAUGUUGGUUGGCCUGGGGAGAAGCGUCGGAGAGAGGAGGAAGGGGACAAAAAAACAGAGGGGAUGGGGGGG